Molecule: ribosomal RNA, 495 nt
Filed under: uncultured bacterium
Lineage: Bacteria
Description: partial 16S ribosomal RNA
Rfam family: Bacterial small subunit ribosomal RNA
Source: RNAcentral
GACGAACGCUGGCGGCGUGCCUAAUACAUGCAAGUAGAACGCUGAAGGAGGAGCUUGCUUCUCUGGAUGAGUUGCGAACGGGUGAGUAACGCGUAGGUAACCUGCCUGGUAGCGGGGGAUAGCUAUUGGAAACGAUAGCUAAUACCGCAUAACAGUAGAUAUCGCAUGAUAUCUACUUGAAAGGUGCAAUUGCAUCACUACCAGAUGGACCUGCGUUGUAUUAGCUAGUUGGUGAGGUAACGGCUCACCAAGGCGACGAUACAUAGCCGACCUGAGAGGGUGAUCGGCCACACUGGGACUGAGACACGGCCCAGACUCCUACGGGAGGCAGCAGUAGGGAAUCUUCGGCAAUGGACGGAAGUCUGACCGAGCAACGCCGCGUGAGUGAAGAAGGUUUUCGGAUCGUAAAGCUCUGUUGUAAGAAAAGAACGAGUGUGAGAGUGGAAAGUUCACACUGUGACGGUAGCUUACCAGAAAGGGACGGCUAACUACGUG